GGAUGCGAUCAUACCACGACUAAUGCACCGUGGAUCCCAUCAGAACUCCGAAGUUAAGCGUGCUUGGCGAGAGUAGUACUAGGAUGGGUACCCCUGGGAAGUCCUCGUGUUGCAUCCC
Molecule: ribosomal RNA, 118 nt
Filed under: Ipomoea nil (Japanese morning glory)
Lineage: Eukaryota; Viridiplantae; Streptophyta; Magnoliopsida; Solanales; Convolvulaceae
Source: RNAcentral